CAGUAGCCGCGGUAAUGCGUAGGUCCCGAGCGUUGUCCGGAUUUAUUGGGCGUAAAGGGAGCGCAGGCGGUUUAGUAAGUCUGAAGUUAAAGGCAUUGGCUCAACCAAUGUAUGCUUUGGAAACUGUUAGACUUGAGUGCAGAAGGGGAGAGUGGAAUUCCAUGUGUAGCGGUGAAAUGCGUAGAUAUAUGGAGGAACACCGGUGGCGAAAGCGGCUCUCUGGUCUGUCACUGACGCUGAGGCUCGAAAGCGUGGGUAGCGAACAGGAUUAGAUACCCCAGUAGUCCCUGUCUCUUAUACC
RNAcentral lists this ribosomal RNA (301 nucleotides) under uncultured bacterium. RNAcentral's name for it is "partial 16S ribosomal RNA". It matches the Rfam family "Bacterial small subunit ribosomal RNA", at positions 509 to 808 of the family's 1533-position model. The record is from RNAcentral.